GAUGAACGCUGGCGGCGUGCCUAACACAUGCAAGUCGAACGGCAACACGCUUAGCUUUUUCGUUUGUGGGUAGCGGUGGGCGGUGGGGUAACAAAUCGAUAGUAACCUUCUCUUUCUUGGAGGAUAACGGAAUGAAAGUUAGGCUAAUACCGGAUAUGCUGGACCGGUGGGAUCAUGGGUCCGUGACAGCUUUUGUGUCUGUAUGAGAUGGUUUCGCGGCGGAUUAGCGAGUUGGUGGGGUCACGGCGUACCAAGGCGGCGAUGCGUAGCCGAACUGAGAGGAGGAUCGGCGACACUGGAACUGAGAAAAGGUCCAGAAGCCUACGGGAGGCAGCAGUAGGGAAUAUUGGGCAAUGGGCGGAAGACUGAUGAAGCAACGCCGCGUGGGUGAAGAAGGCGUUCGGGUUGUAAAGACCUUUUUUUGGGAAAGAAAAGCGGCAGCCUGAUAUGUGGAUGGUUUGACGGUACCUAAAGAAGAAGCACCGGCUAACUACGUG
This 497-nucleotide ribosomal RNA is filed under the name uncultured bacterium. RNAcentral's name for it is "partial 16S ribosomal RNA". It matches the Rfam family "Bacterial small subunit ribosomal RNA", at positions 28 to 507 of the family's 1533-position model. The record is from RNAcentral.